This 459-nucleotide ribosomal RNA is filed under the name uncultured bacterium. RNAcentral's name for it is "partial 16S ribosomal RNA". It matches the Rfam family "Bacterial small subunit ribosomal RNA", at positions 338 to 795 of the family's 1533-position model. The record is from RNAcentral.
CCUACGGGAGGCUGCAGUGAGGAAUAUUGGUCAAUGGCCGCAGGGCUGAACCAGCCAAGUCGCGUGAGGGAUGACGGUCCUAUGGAUUGUAAACCUCUUUUGUCAGGGAGCAAAGGGCGCCACGUGUGGCGCUUUGCGAGUACCUGAAGAAAAAGCAUCGGCUAACUCCGGGCCAGCAGCCGCGGUAAUACGGAGGAUGCGAGCGUUAUCCGGAUUUAUUGGGUUUAAAGGGUGCGCAGGCGGAAUGUCAAGUCAGCGGUAAAAUUUCGGGGCUCAACCCCGUCGUGCCGUUGAAACUGGCGUUCUUGAGUGAGCGAGAAGUAUGCGGAAUGCGUGGUGUAGCGGUGAAAUGCAUAGAUAUCACGAAGAACUCCGAUUGCGAAGGCAGCAUACCGGCGCUCAACUGACGCUCAUGCACGAAAGCGUGGGUAUCGAACAGGAUUAGAUACCCCUGUAGUC